GACAGAGUGUGUGUGUCUGUGU
RNAcentral lists this microRNA (22 nucleotides) under Mus musculus (house mouse). RNAcentral describes it as "mmu-miR-3082-5p". The record is from miRBase by way of RNAcentral. Lineage: Eukaryota; Metazoa; Chordata; Mammalia; Rodentia; Muridae.